GUUUCAGGGCGAGGUGAAAUUCCUCACUGGCGGUAAUCGGGCGGCAAUACCGUCUCGUAAGUCCGCGACCCGGGCAAGCGCAUUGCCUGGCUGAUCCGGUGAAAAUCCGGAACCAACGGUUACAGUCCGGAUGGAAGAGA
Molecule: non-coding RNA, 140 nt
Filed under: bovine gut metagenome
Description: FMN riboswitch (RFN element)
Rfam family: FMN riboswitch aptamer (RFN element)
About the family: The RFN element is a highly conserved domain that is found frequently in the 5'-untranslated regions of prokaryotic mRNAs that encode for flavin mononucleotide (FMN) biosynthesis and transport proteins. This element is a metabolite-dependent riboswitch that directly binds FMN in the absence of proteins. In Bacillus subtilis, the riboswitch most likely controls gene expression by causing premature transcription termination within the 5' untranslated region of the ribDEAHT operon and precluding access to the ribosome-binding site of ypaA mRNA.
Source: RNAcentral